Molecule: ribosomal RNA, 953 nt
Filed under: uncultured organism
Description: bacterial SSU rRNA
Rfam family: Bacterial small subunit ribosomal RNA
Source: RNAcentral
UGACGGUACCCUUUCGAAUAAGAGGUUGCUAACUCUGUGCCAGCAGCAGCGGUAAUACAGAGACCUCGAGCGUUAUCCGGAUUUACUGGGCGUAAAGCGUCUGUAGGGGGUUUGUUAAGUUCCAAGUAAAAUCUUAAAGGCUCAACUUUAAGUUCGCUUGGAAAACUAAUAAACUGGAGUCCAGCAGAGGUGCAUGGAACUUGCGGUGUAGGAGUGAAAUCCGUUGAUAUCGCAAGGAACACCAAAGGCGAAGGCAUUGCACUGGGCUGGUACUGACCCUGAGAGACGAAAGCGUGGGGAGCAAAACGGAUUAGAUACCCGUGUAGUCCACGCCGUAAACGAUGGAUACUAGAUGUUCGGGGAUUCGACCCCCUGGGUGUCACAGCUAACGCGUUAAGUAUCCCGCCUGGGAAGUACGGCCGCAAGGCUAAAACUCAAAGGAAUAGACGGGGAUCCGCACAAGCGGUGGAGCGUCUGGUUUAAUUUGAUAGUAAGCAAUGGACCUCACCAAGGUUUGACAUCCUAUGACAACCCUGGAAACAGGGCUUCCUUCGGGCAUAGUGACAGGUGCUGCAUGGUCGUCGUCAGUUCGUGCCGUGAGGUGUUCCGUUAAGUCGGGAAACGAACGAAACCCUCGUCGCAUGUUACAAAUUUCAUGCGAGACUGCCCGGGUCAACCGGGAGGAAGGCGGGGAUGACGUCAGAUCAGCAUGGCCCUUAUACCUUGGGCUACACAGGCGCUACAAUGGCCGGUACAAAGGGUUGCAAAACCGCGAGGUGAAGCUAAUCCCAUAAAGCCGGUCCAAGUUCGGAUUGGAGGCUGCAACUCGCCUCCAUGAAGUUGGAAUCGCUAGUAAUCGUGGAUCAGCCAUACCACGGUGAAUACGUUCCCGGAUCUUGUACUCACCGCCCGUCACACCAAGAGAGUUGGUAGCUCCUGAAGCGUCGCAUUAG